UGCGCAGGCGGUUCGUUGCGUGGGUGGUGAAAUCUCCUGGCUCAACUGGGAGGGGGCCAUCCAAACGGGCGGACUUGAGGCGUGGAGAGGGACGUGGAAUUCCGGGUGGAGCGGUGAAAUGCGUAGAGAUCCGGAGGAACACCGACGGCGAAGGCAGCGUCCUGGCCACGACCUGACGCUCAGGCACGAAAGCUGGGGGGAGAAACA
This 207-nucleotide ribosomal RNA is filed under the name uncultured bacterium. RNAcentral describes it as "partial 16S ribosomal RNA". It matches the Rfam family "Bacterial small subunit ribosomal RNA", at positions 568 to 774 of the family's 1533-position model. The record is from RNAcentral.